UGGAGUACAGAUAAGAAAGGAGAAAAAGAAAAAAAAGAUUAAGCAUUUGCUGAAGAAGUAAUUGUGUGGAAAUUAGCGAUGGAGACAUAUCUAGUGAAUUUAUGAGGGCAGUCUUCCCAUUAUUUCUCCCACCAGUGACUGAAAUGAAUAGACGGCAAAGAUCUGAAAUUCAGAAGAAAGAUAGAGGGCCAUUAGGGAUAAAUACAUCUCCCCAUUUUUCUGUCAUCCUUAUUGAGAAUUCCGGUACUUGUGACAAACUUCUACGAAAGGUAAUUUUGUUGAUAGAACCCAGGUGCUGGACAUAUUACAGCCAAAAAAGUUCCACAUGACAGGCUGUGUAAAUCUAUCAUGGCAUUGACAUCGUAAUUUGCAACAGGCAGGUCACACCAAAUGGCAAGCAAAAAAAUUACAUACCUGAGACUAGGAACUUUUUACUGUUCCCCGUGAAGAUCUGUGGUUAUAGUCCUUCCUAAUUGUCCACAAAAUGUGUGUGGGUAUGGUGUUCCGCAGGUUCAUUUGCAAGAAUAAUAUCCAUAAGGGGUGGUCUUGAACUUUUGGCCCCUCUAACAAAACUGUAUAAAAAAGGACCCCCUGCUUAAGAAAAUCCACAGAACUUUGGUUACCCAUUAGACAUAAGUUGUAGGCAUAAAUAGUUUUGCCUAUGAAGGUAGGAGUUGAGACUUUUCAAUUAGUCAGAGACUAUGAACCUACACAAUUGAUCACAAGUUCAACCUAUAAGAAAAAGUUGCAUGUGUUUCUCAAUUGUUCACAAGUUACAUCGGACAAGCAACAGUUGGUACUAUGCAUUUUACCCAUUGAGUUAAAUUAGACACAAUCGUGAUAUAUUUACAAAUAUUGUCUGUAUUGUUCAAUUGCUCACAAUUUUUUCC
This 890-nucleotide long non-coding RNA is filed under the name Capsicum annuum. Its description in RNAcentral is "long non-coding RNA (CANN_LNC011294)". Lineage: Eukaryota; Viridiplantae; Streptophyta; Magnoliopsida; Solanales; Solanaceae. The record is from RNAcentral.